AUUGAACGCUGGCGGCAGGCCUAAUACAUGCAAGUCGAACGAGUGGCGGACGGGUGUGUAAUGUCUGGGAACUUGCUAGAAGGAGGGGGAUAACUAGUGGAACCGGUAGUUAAUACCGCAGACCAUUAGAUGCGACCAGAUGGGAUUAGCUUGUUGGUGGGGUAAAGGAUCACCAAGGCGACGAUCCCUAGCUGGUCUGAGAGGAUGACCAGCCACACUGGAACUGAGACACGGUCCAGACUCCUACGGGAGGCAGCAGUGGGGAAUAUUGCGCAAUGGGCGCAAGCCUGAUGCAGCCAUGCCGCGUGUAUGAAGAAGGCCUUCGGGUUGUAAAGUACUUUCAGCAGGGAGGCGUUACCCACACAAGAAGCACCGGCUAACUCCGUGCCAGCAGCCGCGGUAAUAC
Molecule: ribosomal RNA, 406 nt
Filed under: uncultured bacterium
Lineage: Bacteria
Description: partial 16S ribosomal RNA
Rfam family: Bacterial small subunit ribosomal RNA
Source: RNAcentral